This is a non-coding RNA of Pelobates cultripes (western spadefoot toad), 240 nucleotides long. Lineage: Eukaryota; Metazoa; Chordata; Amphibia; Anura; Pelobatidae. The record is from the annotation of a GenBank genome assembly.
CUCAAUCUGUAUUUGUGUAAAUUAUUAUAUGUAUUCCCCUUUUUUACAUUUUGCAUAAUUAAUACAUUAGAAUCGAGUUAGAAAAAUUAACACUUAAAAUAAGUCACACAAUCAUAUUACAUUUUUUAUAGCUCAUCAUAAAAAAAAAAUCCAACAAACCCUAAAACAACAUGUUACACAACGGUAACCAAGUAAUAUGUACUUAGUAUUUAAGUGUAUUAAAGAAAUAGUAAUGAAAAU